RNAcentral lists this long non-coding RNA (1229 nucleotides) under Homo sapiens (human). RNAcentral's name for it is "HSALNT0013281". Lineage: Eukaryota; Metazoa; Chordata; Mammalia; Primates; Hominidae. The record is from RNAcentral.
GUGUAGUAGUAACAUGGUUAAGGUUACAUUGCUAGUCAGUGGUAGAACCAGGAUUUCCAUCCAGGUCUGCCUGACUGCAGGCACUGGGUUGGUAUAUGGCUGGGCCUGAGAACUAUCCAGGAGUAAACAGCGUGGACAAAGCUGGCAUGGAAAGAGCUCUGGCUGAGAUACAGAUUCUAAACUGGGCCUCAAAAGGGGUUAAAGGGAAGUAAGGCGAUGUCAGUAGAGCUGAAGCUGGGGUUGAGAGGCUUCCUGAGGAACUGGUGUGGUCAGGGGAGCCUUUCAGAAAGUCCCAGCCCUGCUAGACUGUUAGGGCCCUGAGCUGGGGCAGGGGAGGGUGGUGGAUGCAACAGAACAUCGCCCCGGAUGUAAGACCCAGCCAGACAAAGUGACUCAUCACCCUGAUGUCACCCCACAGCCUCAGCUGCUAAUCAUGGUGAAAUAAAUGUCACUGCAAGUUUAAGGAAGACUAUGCACUAUUACCACUGAGCAUUUACUAUGUUCCAGGCCCUGUGCUAAGCGCAUUGCCUGCUGCGUCUCACCCUUCAGUAGGAGUAGGGUGGUCAGGACAAGAGGAAGCAAGGGAUGCAGCUAUUUGGGGAAGAGUGUUUCCAGCAGAAGGAAGAAGACCUGCCCAGGUGUCGGAUAAGAGCCUGCUUGGUGCAUUCAGGGAUACGAAGGAGGCCAGCGUGGCUGAGAUGAGGUAGGGGCAGCCGGGGUGAGAACAGGUGGGACUUGCCGGCCAUGAAGAGGACCUUGGAUUGCUGUUGAGUGAAAUGGAAAGCCAAAUGUAGGGUCUUGAACAGAAGAGGGACAUGAUGAGCCUUAUGUUUUGAAAUGAUCAUUCUGGACACCAGAUGGAAAAUAGACAGGGGCUGGGGGUGGGGUUGGCAAGGGGAGAAGCUUGGAAGCCAUUUGGUUAUUGCGAAAGUCACACAAAGCUGUGAAAGCAGAGCUGGCCUGGUUGAAGGAAGGGUGGAGGUGGGGGGAGGGCCGGCAUUUCCUCCCACUGAGCCUCUGCCCUUCCCUUUUCCUGCUCUCUGAGGUUCCACCAUGGGACCCCAGGGUACCUAGGAUUACAAUUUGAAAGCUAUUGGACUAGAGGUUCUCUAAGGGCCCUUCCAGCUUUGCCUCCUGUGCUCUUGUGUUUCAGGACCAUGCUGAUUCUGUGGGACCAGGCCCGGGCUCUACCAGCCAGGCCUCUGAACAUGUCAACUUGAGAACUGAAC